GAAAGUAGGAAAGGGCAUACGGUGGAUGCCUAGGCUCUUACAGGCGAUGAAGGACGUGAUAAGCUGCGAUAAGCUUCGGGGAGGUGCAAAUAACCCUUGAUCCGGAGAUUUCCGAAUGGGACAACCCAGUAUUUUGAAGAAAUACUAUCCGACCAGUGUCGGAGGCGAACGCAGGGAACUGAAACAUCUUAGUACCUGCAGGAAGAGAAAAUAAACAAUGAUUCCCCUAGUAGUGGCGAGCGAACGGGGAAGAGCCCAAACCACUGUUGUUACGGCAAGAGUGGGGUAGUAGGACCGCGACAUCGGACGAAAGUUUGUGAGAAGAAGCCUCUGGAAAGAGGCACCGUAGAGAGUGAUAGUCUUGUAUUCGAAGCAAACCGAACCGUAGCGGUAUCCUGAGUAGCGCGGAGCACGAGGAAUUCUGUGUGAAUCAGCCGGGACCAUCCGGUAAGGCUAAAUACUCGUAAGAGACCGAUAGUGAACCAGUACUGUGAAGGAAAGGUGAAAAGUACCCCGAACAGGGGAGUGAAAUAGUUCCUGAAACCGUAUGCCUACAAGCGGUCGGAGCUCAGUAAUGAGUGACGGCGUGCCUUUUGCAUAAUGAACCUACGAGUUACCGUCGUUGGCAAGGUUAAGGGUAAUGAUGCCCCGAGCCGGAGCGAAAGCGAGUCUGAACAGGGCGAUGAGUCAUCGGCGGUAGACGCGAAACCGAGUGAUCUACACUUGUCCAGGAUGAAGUCCCGGUAACACGGGAUGGAGGUCCGAACCAAUAAGCGUUGAAAAGCUUCUGGAUGAGGUGAGUGUAGGAGUGAAAGGCCAAUCAAACUCGGAGAUAGCUCGUACUCCCCGAAAGGCAUUUAGGUGCCGCCUCGGACGUUCCCGAUGUGAGGUAGAGCGACUGAUUGGAUGCGAGGGCUUCACCGCCUAUCAAGUCCUGAUAAACUCCGAAUGCGCAUCGGCCAAGUCCGGGAGUAAGGGCAUGGGUGCUAAGGUCCGUGCCCGAGAGGAGAAGAAUCCAGACCAUCGGCUAAGGUCCCGAAAUACUGGUUAAGUUAGACUAACGAAGUCCGGCCCCCAAGACAGCUAGGAUGUUGGCUUGGAAGCAGCCAUUCAUUCAAAGAGUGCGUAACAGCUCACUAGUCGAGGAGCUGGGCGUGGAUAAUAAUCGGGUAUAAAACCAGUUACCGAAGCCAUGGGAUACGUUAAGUAUCGGUAGGGGAGCAUUCCAUUCGGCGUCGAAGGCGCACCGUGAGGUGUUCUGGAGCGUAUGGAAAAGCAAAUGUAGGUAUAAGUAACGAUAAGGGGGGUGAGAUGCCCCCCCGCCGCAAGACCAAGGUUUCCUGAACAACGCUAAUCGGUUCAGGGUUAGUCGGGUCCUAAGCAUAAUCCGAAAGGUGAGGGCGAUGGCAGAAACGGUUAAUAUUCCGUUACUACCGAAUCGCGUGAUGCGGGGACGGAGAAGUGACACGGCCGCCGUCUGACGGAAUAGACGGUUGAAGGGCGUAGGUGUUGAGGAAGGCAGUAAAGUACACCUUCCGAGCUGAAACCUGAUAGUACGGAGCGUUCUUCGGAACAAUCCGAUAGUGCCGGUAACCAUGCUCCCGAGAAAAUCCGCUAAACAAUAACGGUUCGGUACCCGUACUGUAAACGGACACACGUGGUCGGGUUGAAUAUACUAAGGCGCUUGGGUGAAUCACGGUUAAGGAACUAGGCAAAUUGACCCCGUACCUUCGGAAUAAGGGGUCCUCGGUAAGACGAGGCGCAGAGAAUAGGUCCAGGCAACUGUUUAACAAAAACACAGGGCUGUGCGAAUUCGAAAGACGAAGUAUACAGCCUGACACCUGCCCGGUGCUGGAAGGUUAAGAGGAGAGCUCAGAGCAAUCGAAGGCUUGAAUUGAAGCCCCAGUAAACGGCGGCCGUAACUAUAACGGUCCUAAGGUAGCGAAAUUCCUUGUCGGGUAAGUUCCGACCUGCACGAAUGGUGUAAUGAUCUGGACACUGUCUCAACCGUGAGCCCAGUGAAAUUGUAGUAUCGGUGAAGAUGCCGAUUACCCGCGAUGGGACGAAAAGACCCCGUGAACCUUUACUAUAGCUUAACGUUGGAUCUGGGCAUUCGAUGUGUAGGAUAGGCCGGAGGCUUAGAAGUGGGCACGCCAGUGUUCAUGGAGCCGCCGUUGAAAUACGGCCCUUUGGCUGUCUGGGUCCUAACCCGUGUAUUACGGGGACACCGUUUGGUGGGUAGUUUGACUGGGGUGGUCGCCUCCAAAAGCGUAACGGAGGCUCCUAAAGGUGCCCUCAGGCCGAUUGGUAACCGGCCGCAGAGUGUAAUGGCAAAAGGGCGCUUGACUGGGAGGCCGACAGGCCGAGCAGGCAGGAAACUGGAGCAUAGUGAUCCGGCGGUUCCGUAUGGAAGGGCCGUCGCUCAAAGGAUAAAAGGUACUCCGGGGAUAACAGGCUGAUCCCUCCCAAGAGCUCAUAUCGACGGAGUGGUUUGGCACCUCGAUGUCGGCUCGUCACAUCCUGGGGCUGGAGAAGGUCCCAAGGGUUGGGCUGUUCGCCCAUUAAAGUGGCACGCGAGCUGGGUUCAGAACGUCGUGAGACAGUUCGGUCUCUAUCUAUCGUGGGCGCAGGAGAUUUGCGUGGCUCUGACACUAGUACGAGAGGACCGUGUUGGACUGACCUCUGGUUUACCAGUUGUGCCGCCAGGUGCACCGCUGGGUAUCUACGUCGGGAUCGGAUAAGUGCUGAAAGCAUCUAAGUACGAAGCCGGCCACAAGAUUAGAUCUCCCUUGAGGGUCGUUGUAGACGACAACGUUGAUAGGAUGCAGGUGUACAGAUGGCGACAUCACAGCCGAGCAUUACUAAUUGCCCGAUGACUUUCUUACC
RNAcentral lists this ribosomal RNA (2886 nucleotides) under human gut metagenome. RNAcentral describes it as "bacterial LSU rRNA". It matches the Rfam family "Bacterial large subunit ribosomal RNA". The record is from RNAcentral.